Molecule: ribosomal RNA, 499 nt
Filed under: uncultured bacterium
Lineage: Bacteria
Description: partial 16S ribosomal RNA
Rfam family: Bacterial small subunit ribosomal RNA
Source: RNAcentral
ACUCAAAUGAAUAGACGGGGGCCCGCACAAGCGGUGGAUGAUGUGGAUUAAUUCGAUGCAACGCGAAAAACCUUACCUACCCUUGACAUGUCAGGAACCUCUCAGAGACGAGAGGGUGCCCGAAAGGGAACCUGAACACAGGUGCUGCAUGGCUGUCGUCAGCUCGUGUCGUGAGAUGUUGGGUUAAGUCCCGCAACGAGCGCAACCCUUGUCCUUAGUUGCUACCAUUUAGUUGAGCACUUUAAGGAGACUGCCGGUGACAAACCGGAGGAAGGUGGGGAUGACGUCAAGUCCUCAUGGCCCUUAUGGGUAGGGCUUCACACGUCAUACAAUGGUCGGUACAGAGGGUUGCCAAGCAGCGAUGCGGAGCCAAUCCCGAAAAGCCGAUCGUAGUCCGGAUUGUAGUCUGCAACUCGACUACAUGAAGUCGGAAUCGCUAGUAAUCGCGGAUCAGCAUGUCGCGGUGAAUACGUUCCCGGGCCUUGUACACACCGCCCGU